This 375-nucleotide ribosomal RNA is filed under the name uncultured bacterium. Its description in RNAcentral is "bacterial SSU rRNA". It matches the Rfam family "Bacterial small subunit ribosomal RNA", at positions 521 to 896 of the family's 1533-position model. The record is from RNAcentral.
UAAUACGUAGGCAGCAAGCGUUGUUCGGAAUUACUGGGCGUAAAGCGAGUGUAGGCGGUUCGAUAAGUUUGGUGUGAAAUCUCCCGGCUCAACUGGGAGGGUGCGCCGAAGACUGUCGAGCUAGAGUGUGGGAGAGGUAGGCGGAAUUCCUGGUGUAGCGGUGAAAUGCGUAGAUAUCAGGAGGAACACCUGCGGUGUAGACGGCUUACUGGACCACGACUGACGCUGCAACUCGAAAGUGUGGGGAGCAAACAGGAUUAGAUACCCUGGUAGUCCACACCCUAAACGAUGCAUACUUGGUGUGAGCGAUUCAUUUCGUUCGUGCCGGAGCUAACGCGUUAAGUAUGCCGCCUGGGGAGUACGGUCGCAAGGCUG